This 489-nucleotide ribosomal RNA is filed under the name Triticum aestivum (bread wheat). Its description in RNAcentral is "partial small subunit ribosomal RNA". Lineage: Eukaryota; Viridiplantae; Streptophyta; Magnoliopsida; Poales; Poaceae. The record is from RNAcentral.
AUGCACUUCCCCGCUGGCUCGCAGGCACCAAAAACCCAAAUGGCAGAACUGACUAACAUGCAAAGCCGCGACUGGAAUUCCCUCCCCGAUGUUCUCUUGGAGCAGAUCUGUAACUGUAUGGACCUACUCAGCACCGUUUGUCUGGCCGCAUGCUCAGUGUCUCUGUACCGUCUACUCGUCUGCAACCAGCCGGCUCUUUUCAAGACAACCUGCUUGCUAAUUCCCGAUCCUCGCAGGUGGCCCAGACAUCGACUUGACGAUCCUACGGAGGUUGCCGUGGUGCCCCUCGACAUGCUACCACUACCCGUCCACCUGUCCUUCAUGCGCGGCCACUACUGGGCGGGCAUGAAGGCCAACUGGAUUGUCCUCAUCCACCAAUCUGGUAGUCCGUGGCGUCUCGUGGAUAUCUACACCCAGCAAGAGAUCACCCUUCCAUCUUUGGAUACCGCCGCCAUCGAGCCUCGCGGCCCGCCGGACACUCCUGCCUAG